GAUGAAGAACGUAGCGAAAUGCGAUAAGUAAUGUGAAUUGCAGAAUUCAGUGAAUCAUCGAAUCUUUGAACGCAUCUUGCGCUCCUUGGUAUUCCGAGGAGCAUGCCUGUUUGAGUGUCAUUUAACUUCUCAACCACAUUGGAUAUUUUUUUUCCGAUGCCGGCUUGGAUGUGGGGGUUGUUUGCAGGCUUUUUGUAACAAAAAAGGUCGGCUCCCCUGAAAUGUAUUAGUAGUAUCUGAGGCUAUUACUAUUAGGUGUGAUAAUUAUCUAUGCCUUUUGGGUAUGCCGCAUGAACAGAUUAUGCUGCUUCUAACGAAAACUAUUUUGAUGAAUUUGACCUCAAAUCAGGUAGGACUACCCGCUGAACUUAAGCAUAUCAAUAAGCGGAGGA
This 392-nucleotide unclassified non-coding RNA is filed under the name soil metagenome. RNAcentral describes it as "partial contains 5.8S ribosomal RNA, internal transcribed spacer 2, and large subunit ribosomal RNA". The stretch from base 1 to 120 matches the Rfam family "5.8S ribosomal RNA", at positions 35 to 154 of the family's 154-position model. The record is from RNAcentral.